GACGAACGCUGGCGGCGUGCUUAACACAUGCAAGUCGAACGGAAAGGCACUGAUAUUGUGGGGUGAUCGAGUGGCGAACGGGUGAGUAACACGUGAGUAACCUGCCCUUGACUUUGGGAUAACUUCAGGAAACUGGGGCUAAUACCGGAUAGGAGCUCCUGCUGCAUGGUGGGGGUUGGAAAGUUUCGGCGGUUGGGGAUGGACUCGCGGCUUAUCAGCUUGUUGGUGGGGUAGUGGCUUACCAAGGCUUUGACGGGUAGCCGGCCUGAGAGGGUGACCGGCCACAUUGGGACUGAGAUACGGCCCAGACUCCUACGGGAGGCAGCAGUGGGGAAUAUUGCACAAUGGGCGGAAGCCUGAUGCAGCAACGCCGCGUGCGGGAUGACGGCCUUCGGGUUGUAAACCGCUUUCGCCUGUGACGAAGCGUGAGUGACGGUAAUGGGUAAAGAAGCACCGGCUAACUACGUG
This 468-nucleotide ribosomal RNA is filed under the name uncultured bacterium. Its description in RNAcentral is "partial 16S ribosomal RNA". It matches the Rfam family "Bacterial small subunit ribosomal RNA", at positions 28 to 507 of the family's 1533-position model. The record is from RNAcentral.